GCUUCCCCCUCUCCUCGGUCCCUUUUAGGAGAGGCACGACCUCAUAGCAUCACGCCUCAGCACCAGCUCCUCCUCACUCACCUGCAAAGCCGACCUGAGCACGCCGCGCCACCAUGCCGAGCCUAGAGUUCAUAUCCGCCGCCUCCGUGCACAUCUCCUACUCCCUCUCGGCCCGGUCCAAGGGCAUAGGUGGAUCCACAAUCUCCUUCUCCGUCUCCCUGUAUUUUUAUCUUGAUUUUUGGCGCUUGAAAUCGUAAAUUGGGCGAACUCUGGCGAGCUCCGCCGUCCGGCCAUGGCGCUCCACCGUGGAAACGCACCGCCGGCCGUUUCCUUCUCCUUGGUUGAGUCUAGAUCAUCGGAUCGAGAUCCAACGGCCAAAGUCAUAAGAUACCGUUUCGCUUGGAUUUUUUGUUAAAGAGCCCCUGCUCUUUCCAUGAAUCAACUCGAGGUCUAUGGCGCCUCUGCGUGAUUACGUUUUCCAAUUUCAAAAAGUUAUUUUUCAUUGGUUUACUCAGAAUACGCUUUCUAAUAAUUACAGUUUUGCCACUAAUUUUAUAUUGCUUAGGCCCUGUUUAGAUUGUUGAUGAAAAUUUUUUGGGUGUCACAUCGGAUGUGUCGGAAGAAUGUCGAGAGGGUUUUUAGAAACUAAUAAGAAAACAAAUUACAUAGCUUGUAAGAAAACUGCAAGACAAAUCUAUUAAGCAUAAUUAAUCUCUUAUUAGCACAUGUGGGUUACUGUAGCACUUAAGGCUAAUCAUGAAGUAACUAGGCUUAAAAAAUUCAUCUCGCGAUUUUUAACCAAACUGUGUAAUUAGUUUAGUUUAUUUUUUUAUGUACAUUUAAUGUUCCAUGCAUGUGUCCAAAGAUUCGAUGGGAUGGAUUAAAAAAUUUUGGAUGUCAAACUAGCCUUAUAAAAUACUCGUUUAACGCUGAUUUGAUCCAUUCAAAUUGAUUUAGAUUUAUCUUUGCGAGAUCUACAUGUUAGUAUCACUGUUUCUUUAGUUUUUAACUUUUUUUAUUUUCGUAGUACUUUUAAUUAAUUAUUCUUUUAUAGGAAAUCUUAGAAAAUCCAUAAAUUCUCCGUUUUAAUUCCGGUUUUUAUGAUCUUUAUGUUUAUGUGACCGUAGCGCUGCGUAGAAUGUUUUUAUAAACUUUUAUAUUUAUUUUAUUACUAUUAGUGUACUAAGGCUGGGCAUUCGGGUUACCCGAUUUUUUGGGUCGGAUAAUUCAAAAUUCGGAUAAUGAAAAUUGUUACCCGAUAUUAGUCUCGAAAAAACACUACCCGCAAGUUCGGGUACUCGAUAAUUUGGGUUCGGAUUCGGGUAUUCCCGAUUUACCCGAAUUUUUAAAAAACAACACAAUACGCAAAAAAAUUAAUAGCAAUUUAUAUAUAAUUUCAGCAACAAUUUGUAUAUAAUUUCAAUAGCAUUUUGUAGAGAAUAAUAUAUUACUAGCACUUGUUCAAAUAAAGAGAAUUAUGUUCUAUUAAAUUGAUAAGUUCUAAUAUUUAACUAACAACACAUGAUAAAUACAAAGAUAUAGACAAAUAUUUGGGUAAUUCGAGUAGUUUACGUACCGGGGGAUAUUACCCGAAUUACCCAAACUAAUUUCGGGUAAUCAAAAUAGCUAUCCGAAUUUAGAAUCGGGUACCUCGGGUUCGGAUAAUUCGGGUACGAGUAACGAGUAUCGAGUAAUUUGCCUAGGCUUAUGGUGUACUGUUCUAAUUAUAGCUUGUUUACUUCGUGCAUGAUUGUCUCGAAUUGCUUGCAUGUUGUUGAUUAAUGAUCGAGUUGACAGUGAGCAGUACCUUGGUGAUCAAGGCCAAUCUUUUGAUGAUCAGUACCUUGGUGAUCAAGGCCAAUCUUUUGACGAUCAGCAGGAACCACAUGAAAGCUUUGAUCAAGGCAGAUACACAUUUAAAACAAUAUAUCAUAUGCAUGUGUCCACCUUGACAACCCUAGUGAAAUCAUAGAUGAUUGUUAUCCUGAAUUUUCUUGGUACUUAUUUGAUAUGCAUUUGGGGAAGUAUUUGCUAGUGCUUGAUAUAAUCCAUGAUCUUGUAAGAUAAUUAAUGACUAUGCUUUGAGCAUUAAAAGAUGACUUAUGACUAUAUCAGAUCUUGUCUGUACGUGAUCACCCGGGAUAACAGUGCAACCAUGAGAGCUAUAAUAGCUCUGGCUUUAACUCAGUAUGAAGACCUCUUCUAGCUUGUCAGAGGUUACCCGCAAGGGCGCGAGAGGGCUUGCCGACACGGGUAUAGUGUGGGCCUCUGUCCUUAUGUGUAUAGGCUGUGCGUCAUUGUGCCAUUUGGAGGGGGAGCUUUAUAUCUGCUCGCCAAUUGAAAACUUUACGGUCCUAACUUGUUAGACGAACUUUUGAAAGGUUUCAUAGUGAUCUCUGUCUACCUCCCUUAGAAGGGGGUUAAGAGACUUGCAACCUCGGACUAAGGGGUAAAUCAUGACUCAUGGGUAAAGAUAUACAACCUCUGCAAAGUGUUAAAAACUGGUAUACUAGCCGUGCUCACGAUCAAGAGCGGCCUUGGGGACAUCUACAUUAAAGAUGAUGACGCUUGUUAUGUUAUUAUGAUUAUUUACUUAUCAUUUAUUAGUAUUAAUUAUACUUAUAUUUGAUUAUGUGGUCAUGAGAUUUACUAUGCUACCUUGAUAUUUGCUAAUUAAAGAUAAACACACUAUAUACAUUUAAAAGCUAAAUGCAGUUAAACCAGUGUCAGCUUAUUGAGCCUCACGACCUCCUGGUUAUACUUGUUGAGUACGAUAUGUGCUCACUCUUGCUAUAACACAACACCUCAGAUUAUGCAAAUGAAGAGGACUGGAAUGAUGAUUAUCGUUAUGAGUACUAGGUUUGGAGUCAACCAGUCAACGGUUAUCCCUGUGUGGUGCUUCUAUCGAU
Molecule: long non-coding RNA, 2909 nt
Filed under: Sorghum bicolor (sorghum)
Lineage: Eukaryota; Viridiplantae; Streptophyta; Magnoliopsida; Poales; Poaceae
Description: long non-coding RNA (SBIC_LNC003365)
Source: RNAcentral